Molecule: ribosomal RNA, 2202 nt
Filed under: Triticum aestivum (bread wheat)
Lineage: Eukaryota; Viridiplantae; Streptophyta; Magnoliopsida; Poales; Poaceae
Description: partial small subunit ribosomal RNA
Source: RNAcentral
AUGCAGAGGUCCGGCGGUUGCAGCCUGUACACGGUGAGACGCAUCAAGCCUGGGGAGCAACUCUUCUACCCAUCCACGGCGGAAGCGCAGGCGGCGGCAGCAACUCAAUCCAAGGACGAGAACACGCCGCCGCCGUCAUCACCCGUUGUUGCCCCGAAGAUGCCACCGCCCAGGCUCAGAUUCGAAGCGUACCGCGUAGACGGCCCAAGGCUCGAUUUUUUGCCCUUCUAUGGACGCGGCGGCGGCGGCGAUGGUAAGAUCCUCUCCAUGGACUCAGCGGGCAACGCCGUGCUUUGCGACGCCGGAAGCUGCUCCGUCCAGCCCGUUGCCUGCCUCAACGAACCCAACGGGGACAGCCCCGUCUCCUUCUCCAUCACUCAUGCGGAGACCUCCCCCUAUGAGUGCACGGCCGUCCAGUCCUACAUGCUGCUGGGUGAUGGCUCGACCGUCUGCGUGUCCUCCGCUGGGCUCAUCGGCACCUACUGCUUCAACACCGUUAGCUGCGCCUGGCAAAAGGCUGGCCGCUGGACCCUGUCGUUCCAUGGACGGGCAGAGCAUGUCCCUGAGCUUCGCAACCUCUGGCUCGGCAUGGCCGGCAACAAUGCCAACAACUUGUGUGCAUUGGACCUCUCGAACCUUGGUUGGGCUCCCAAGUUGCUGCAUGACUGGCAGGCCCGGAUCCGGUUUUCGCGGGCCGUCGGCAAGAUGCGGCGGCGCUGGCAGCUCUGGCCCGCGUGGGCGGCAGGGCGGCUGCGUGUGAUGGGGGUCUGCGGCUCUGGUCGGCAGUGGCUGGAUCUGGAGCGGCCGCUCCCGACCUGCUUCUCCUACUGGACAGCGCUGCUCGCCGGGCCAGCGUUCUGAUCAGCUACCCUGCUCACUCAAUCGGUCAUCGGGAGUGUGUCAGAUCAACUUUGGGCGAAAGCCUUGCUUCACCUAGAGCCGGCGGCGGCGACGCCCAUGGGCGCCGCUAAUCUCCUUGGAGGCGUCGUUGUAUUUGCUGUCUGUACCAUCCUCGUCAAGACCCCGGGGGAAACCCCUAGUCCAGCGGAGAUGCUGGUGCUGUGUUUAUGCUGCCGGCUAGGGUCGACGGUGGUGUGUGAUGUGGUGGUGGUGGCGCGGCCAGCUUGCACUGAAUUUAAGGAGAUUAUAUCCGAUCCAGCUGCCAUGGAGGUUAAGUAUGAAGAGGAAGAUACUGCUUUAAUGUUACUUUGUUCACUGCCAAGUUCUUAUACCAAUUUUAGAGACACCAUAUUAUACAGUCGUGAUACUCUCACACUUAAUGAAGUUUAUGAAGCUUUGAACUCUAAGGAGAAGAUGAAAUUAAUGGUGCCUCAUGAUGUGUCGAGUUCAUCCCAAGCCGAGGGAUUAUCUGUUCGUGGCAGGACAAAGGAGAAGAACUCCAAUAAUGGAAACAGAGGCAAAAGUAAGAACGACUACAGGGGCCGGUUGCAAUCCAGAGACAAGAAAUAUUGCAGAUAUUGCAAGAGGGACGGGCAUAACAUCUCAGAGUGUUUCAAAUUGCAGAAUAAAGAAAAGAGGAAAGGUAACAAACAAGGUGAAAAUUCUGCUAACGUUGCUCGUGAUGAUAGUUCCGAUGAUGCUCUUGUCAUUAUUGCUGGAUGUGCUGAGACCAAUGAUGAGUGGGUACUUGACACCGCAUGCACAUUUCGUAUGUGUCCACAUAGAGAUUGGUUUAAUGCUUUUGAUUCCACUACUUCUGCUGGUUCCGUUUUGGGUUUUGAUAAUUCACCAUGCAAGAUUGAAGUCAUAGGUUCUAUUCGAAUCAAGAUGUUUGAUGACAUAAUCAAAACUUUGACAGAUGUUCAGUAUAUUCCGAAGAUGAAGAGAAAUCUUAUUUCUAUGAGUGCCCUUGAUGCAAAGGGAUACAAGUAUUUAGGUGGAGAUAGUGUUUUGAAAGUCACCAAAGGUUCCCUUAUUGUGAUGAAAGGUGACUUAAGUUCGACCAAUGGUCUUUAUUUCCUUCGAGGUUCUACCGUUUCAGGUAAUGCUACUCCAGUUAUUUCAAAGAAUUCUGAUUGUGAUGCUGCUAACCUUUGGCAUAUGCGUCUUGGACAUAUGAGUGAACUUGGUUUGGCAGAGUUAAAUAAGAGAGGUCUACUUGAUGGAUAUGAACCUGGUAAAUUGAAAUUUUGUGAGCAUUGCAUCUUCGGCAAGCACAAGAGGGUGAAGUUCAACACUUAG